Molecule: small nuclear RNA, 182 nt
Filed under: Myotis davidii
Lineage: Eukaryota; Metazoa; Chordata; Mammalia; Chiroptera; Vespertilionidae
Description: U2 spliceosomal RNA
Rfam family: U2 spliceosomal RNA
About the family: U2 is a small nuclear RNA (snRNA) component of the spliceosome (involved in pre-mRNA splicing). Complementary binding between U2 snRNA (in an area lying towards the 5' end but 3' to hairpin I) and the branchpoint sequence (BPS) of the intron results the bulging out of an unpaired adenosine, on the BPS, which initiates a nucleophilic attack at the intronic 5' splice site, thus starting the first of two transesterification reactions that mediate splicing.
Source: Rfam by way of RNAcentral
AUCGCUUCUCGGCCUUUUGGCUAAGAUCAAGUAUAGAGAAAGUGUGAAUAGCAAUAUUAAAAUAUUUUGUAUUUUAAUUUUUUAAUACUAUAUUAUAUACUAGAGGCCCGGUGCAUGAAAAUUUGUGCACUCGAUAGGGUCCCUCAGCCCAGCCUGCACCCUCUUGCAGUCUGGGACCCCUC